RNAcentral lists this ribosomal RNA (397 nucleotides) under uncultured bacterium. Its description in RNAcentral is "partial 16S ribosomal RNA". It matches the Rfam family "Bacterial small subunit ribosomal RNA", at positions 360 to 772 of the family's 1533-position model. The record is from RNAcentral.
AAUAUUGCAGAAUGGAGGGAACUCUGAUGCAGCAACACCGCGUGAGUGAACAAGGAGUGCGGAUGGUAUCACUCUGCCAUUGGGCAAGGAUAAAUGACGGUACCCACUGAGGAAGCCCGGGCAAACUACGCGCCAGCAGCCGAGGUAAUACGGAGGGGGCGAGGGUUGUCCGGAAUUACUGGGCGUAAAGGGUACGUAGGCGGCUAUAUUUGUCAGGUGUGAAAUACCAGGGCUUAACACUGGAAUUGCAUUUGAAACGGUGUAGCUUGGGUGCGGGAGAGGAAAGUGGAAUUCCUAGUGUAGCGGUGAAAUGCGUAGAGAUUAGGAGGAGCACCAGUGGCGAGGGCGACUUUCUGGACUGUAACUGACGCUGAGGUACGAAAGCGUGGGUAGCGAA